AAAUAAAAGACGAAUAUUACAUAUAUAAAUACGUAAUAAAAAAAAUAAAUUUGGGCGAUGAUGAAAUUCUUAUAACAACGCAAAAGUUUUAUGAUUCGUAUCUUGACAAGACGAUUUAGGAUGGUUACUAAAUUAGCAACCACUUCGUAGCCAUGCCGUAUUUAAAAUCUAAUCUUAGCCCACGCUUUUUAACAAAACUUAUAUUUUUAGAUAUACAUGCAUACAUAUCUUUUCAAUUUAUUUUGAUAAAUUAUUUAUUUGUUACUAACAUUUUUAUUACGAGUGUUUGUACAGGUUAUUGGGAAUACUCACCGGG
This 316-nucleotide long non-coding RNA is filed under the name Capsicum annuum. RNAcentral describes it as "long non-coding RNA (CANN_LNC002190)". The record is from RNAcentral. Lineage: Eukaryota; Viridiplantae; Streptophyta; Magnoliopsida; Solanales; Solanaceae.